UCAAAUUCUCCGACUUAGUUUGGGGCCUUUGGGCAAAUCCCUUCGCACUCGCCAACCAUUCCUACUAUACCUUCAAAUUCAAAAGAAUCAUGAUCCCCUUCCCCUGCAGCUGCUCCAACGGCACUGGAAUCUCUAAUAGGGUCCCCUAUUUACACUGUACAGCAAGGGGAUUACAACCUUGAUCACAUCGCCAGGAAUGUCUACUCUGGGCUGGUGACGGCCCAGGAGAUUGCCCAAGUCAAUGGAAUCUCCAACCCCAACAACUUUAUCGAGAUUGGGCAGAAGCUGUGGAUUCCACUGCCCUGCAGCUGCGAAAUGGUCAACGGAAAUCAGGUCGUCCAUUAUGGACAUGUGGUGGCAAAAAGGAGCUCUGUGGAUCAAAUCGCCAAGGAGUAUGGGAUCCACGAGAAAACCUUAUUGAAGCUUAAUGGAAUGUCCAACCGAAAUGAACUUCAGGCCGGUCAUCUCCUCGAUGUUCCUCUCAAACUCGAAGAUUAUGAACACUUAUAGUCAGCAAAGAUGCGGAAGACUACCUUUUGUUUGUUCUUC
This is a long non-coding RNA of Telopea speciosissima, 549 nucleotides long. RefSeq lists it as uncharacterized. Lineage: Eukaryota; Viridiplantae; Streptophyta; Magnoliopsida; Proteales; Proteaceae. The record is from RefSeq and is a predicted model, not a curated record. The transcript is spliced from 2 exons.